This 724-nucleotide ribosomal RNA is filed under the name uncultured bacterium. RNAcentral describes it as "bacterial SSU rRNA". It matches the Rfam family "Bacterial small subunit ribosomal RNA", at positions 59 to 776 of the family's 1533-position model. The record is from RNAcentral.
CAGUCGAACGAAGAUACUUAAAAAGAGAGCUUCGGCAGGAUUUUUAUUUAUCUUAGUGGCGGACGGGUGAGUAACGUGUGGGCAACCUGCCCUAUACUGGGGAAUAAUCACUGGAAACGGUGACUAAUACCGCAUGUCAUUACGGAAGGGCAUCCUUCUGUAAGAAAAGGAGUAAUUCGGUAUAGGAUGGGCCCGCAUCUGAUUAGCUAGUUGGUGAGAUAACAGCCCACCAAGGCGACGAUCAGUAGCCGACCUGAGAGGGUGAUCGGCCACAUUGGGACUGAGACACGGCCCAAACUCCUACGGGAGGCAGCAGUGGGGAAUAUUGCACAAUGGGGGAAACCCUGAUGCAGCAACGCCGCGUGAAGGAAGAAGGUUUUCGGAUCGUAAACUUCUAUCAACAGGGACGAAGAAAGUGACGGUACCUGAAUAAGAAGCCCCGGCUAACUGCGUGCCAGCAGCCGCGGUAAUACGUAGGGGGCAAGCGUUAUCCGGAAUUACUGGGUGUAAAGGGAGCGUAGGCGGCACGCCAAGCCAGAUGUGAAAGCCCGAGGCUUAACCUCGCGGAUUGCAUUUGGAACUGGCGAGCUAGAGUACAGGAGAGGAAAGCGGAAUUCCUAGUGUAGCGGUGAAAUGCGUAGAUAUUAGGAAGAACACCAGUGGCGAAGGCGGCUUUCUGGACUGAAACUGACGCUGAGGCUCGAAAGCGUGGGGAGCAAACAGG